This 468-nucleotide ribosomal RNA is filed under the name uncultured bacterium. Its description in RNAcentral is "partial 16S ribosomal RNA". It matches the Rfam family "Bacterial small subunit ribosomal RNA", at positions 28 to 507 of the family's 1533-position model. The record is from RNAcentral.
GACGAACGCUGGCGGCGUGCUUAACACAUGCAAGUCGAACGGAAAGGCCCUGCUUUUGUGGGGUGCUCGAGUGGCGAACGGGUGAGUAACACGUGAGUAACCUGCCCUUGACUUUGGGAUAACUUCAGGAAACUGGGGCUAAUACCGGAUAGGAGCUCCUGCUGCAUGGUGGGGGUUGGAAAGUUUCGGCGGUUGGGGAUGGACUCGCGGCUUAUCAGCUUGUUGGUGGGGUAGUGGCUUACCAAGGCUUUGACGGGUAGCCGGCCUGAGAGGGUGACCGGCCACAUUGGGACUGAGAUAGGGCCCAGACUCCUACGGGAGGCAGCAGUGGGGAAUAUUGCACAAUGGGCGGAAGCCUGAUGCAGCAACGCCGCGUGCGGGAUGAAGGCCUUCGGGUUGUAAACCGCUUUCGCCUGUGACGAAGCGUGAGUGACGGUAAUGGGUAAAGAAGCACCGGCUAACUACGUG